Homo sapiens (human) is the source of this 893-nucleotide long non-coding RNA. The record is from Ensembl. Lineage: Eukaryota; Metazoa; Chordata; Mammalia; Primates; Hominidae.
GGCAGAUGCCUCCUUGUUCCAGGCUGACAAGCCCGGGCUUGUGCUUAUUUCACUGUCUAACCCUGCCCAGGCCCCGGGGAGAAGCCUGGUAUUCUUCGUGUUUAUUUAAUUGUCAACUCUCUGUGUUCUAAGACGAUACCCUGGCCUUGACUCAGUACAACCUAGGACUGUAAGUCCCAUCAUGUCUAUGGACUUCAGUUUCCAGACAUGAAACACAAGAGGCUUGGACGAGAUUAGAAAUCAAGAACUCGAAUGCGUAUGGUCAGAGCCACGAGAGUUUCCAUAAAGGAACACAACCAUGUGGACAACUUGAUUAUGCCCUACAAAACUCCAUCCAUGUAUGAUGUGACUUGCUCCUACAUGCCUUCCACCAUGAUUAUGAGGCCUCCUGAGCCAUGUGGAACUGUGCUCAGCACUGAAUAGAAAGCCUGGCGCAUGUUCUGGAGGCUGGGAAGUCCACAAUCAAAGCACUAGCAUAUGAUGUCUGGUAAGGGCCUGGUCUCUGCUUCCAAGAUGGUGCCUUGAAUGUUGUACCCUCCAGAGGGGAGAAAUACUGUUCCUCUCAUGGCAGAGAAAAGGAAGAGACAGAAUUUACUCCCACAAGCCCUUUUAUAGUGGCAUUGACCCAUUCGUGAGGGCAGAUCCCUCUUGAUCUAUACAUCACUCAUUAGGCCCCCACCACCCAACACUGUAGCAGGUGUGACUUAUGUUUCAACUUGAGUUUUGGAGGGCACUAAAACACUUAAACCACACCAUGAAUCAAAGGCGUAAGUGAAGGAGCUUAAACUAUAAAUAUCUUAGAGAAAAACAUAGCCAUGGAAUAAAUCUUUGUGACUUUGGAUUACCCAAAGUUUCUUAGAUUUGGCACUAAAACCACAAAGAACUAAAUAAAA